GAUUAACAGAUUUUCUUCCAAACUACUCAACAACAAAUCCCCUUUUGAAUUGCUGUUUGGCCAGAUUCCUUCCUACAAACACCUUAAAACAUUUGGUUGCUUAUGUUUUGCCUCUGUCCCUAAACAGAAUAGAGAUAAAUUCCAGCCUAGAGUUGAUCCCUGUGUUUUCCUGGGUUACCCUUUGGCUAAAAAGGGUUACAAGCUGUAUAACUUGAAGUCUAAGAUCACCCUGAUAUCCAGGGAUGUCAUUUUUCAUGAGGAUGUAUUUCCUUUUGCCUCUCCAAGGACUUCUUCCCAUGCCUCUUUUCCUCCUGUCAAUCCUCCUUCUGCCUGGGUUCCUCCUGUUGAUGACUCUCUGCCUCAUCCUUCCUCUUCUUCCACUCAUCACCCUCUUGCCUACUCCUCUUCCUCACCUUCCUCUCCAUCACCUACUUCUUCAGUACCUUCUUCAUCUGCACCCAGAAGAUCCACUAGGGCACAUGUCCUUCCUGCCCACCUGCAUCAGUAUGUCUGCACUCUCCCUCCUUCUCUUUCUGGUCCCAGUGCUUCUUCCACAUGUCUUCACACUUUGGUUAGCAGUCCAGAAGCAGAACCUACCACCUAUCAGCAAGCUGCUUCUAUUCCUGCCUGGCAUGAGGCUAUGUGCAAGGAAUUUGCAGCUUUGGAGGCCAAUAAUACCUGGUCAAUAGUUCCCCUUCCCCCUGGUAAAAGACCUAUUGGUUGCAAGUGGGUGUAUAAGAUCAAAUAUAAGGAUGAUGGGUCUGUGGAAAGACAUAAGGCUAGGCUGGUUGUUAGGGGUGACACCCAAGUUGAGGGUGUAGACUUCACUGAGACUUUUUCUCAUGUUGUCAAAUUUUCAACUAUCAAAUCCCUUAUUGGUAGGGCUGAUGGGUCUGUGGAAAGACACAAGGCAAGACUGGUUGUUAGGGGUGAUACCCAAAUUGAAGGUGUAGACUUCACUGAGACCUUUUCUCCUGUUGUAAAGUUUUCAACCAUCAAUUCCCUCAUUGUUGUGGCUGUUAAACAGAAUUGGUCCUUAUUUCAACUUGAUGUGAAUAAUGCAUUCUUACAUGGUGACUUAGCUGAAGAAGUUUAUAUGAAAUUUCCCCUUGGACUGGAUGUUGCCUGUUCUGCCUCUUCUUCUACUUUGGUUUGUCUGCUUCAGAAGUCUUUGUAUGGGUUAAGGCAAUCUUCUAGGCAAUGGUAUGCCAAGCUCUCCCAGGCCUUGUGUUCUAAAGGUUUUUCUUCUUCCUUUUAUAUGAAAUUGCCCCCUAGACUGGAUGUUGCCUGUUCUGCCUCUUCUUCCCUUUUGGUUUGUCUGCUUCAGAAGUCUUUGUAUGGGUUAAGGCAAGCUUCUAGGCAAUGGUAUGCCAAGCUCUCCCAGUCUUUAUGUUCUAAAGGUUUUGCUUCUUCCCUCAAUGACUAUUCUCUUUUCCUUAAGAAAUCUGGUUCUUCUAUUGUCCUGUUGGCUGUCUAUGUUGAUGACAUUAUCCUCACUGGUAAUGAUUUAGGGGAAAUUAGUUCUUUGAAGAGUUUUCUUGAUCAAUAAUUCAAAAUCAAGGACUUGGGGGUGCUUAAUUACUUUCUUGGUAUUGAGGUCAGUUAUCACUCUGCUGGGCUCCUGCUCUACCAGAAAAAAUUUGUCACUGAUCUGCUCAAAGCUUAUAACUGUGAGGCUGUUACUCCUGUGACUUGUCCCCUUGACCUCUCAGUCAAACUCAAACUAGAUUUAGGGGAUCCUCUUCCAUCUCCUGAAUCCUAUAGGUGCUUAGUAGGGAAACUCAAUUUUCUCACUCAUACUAGACCUGACUUAGCCUUUGCUGUCCAGCAUUUAAGCCAAUAUCUCCAG
Molecule: long non-coding RNA, 1849 nt
Filed under: Nicotiana benthamiana
Lineage: Eukaryota; Viridiplantae; Streptophyta; Magnoliopsida; Solanales; Solanaceae
Description: long non-coding RNA (NBEN_LNC013843)
Source: RNAcentral